Molecule: non-coding RNA, 900 nt
Organism: Oncorhynchus mykiss (rainbow trout)
Lineage: Eukaryota; Metazoa; Chordata; Actinopteri; Salmoniformes; Salmonidae
Source: RefSeq, a predicted model, not a curated record
UGGAGCUGUCUCCGGAAAUGUCCCCGUUUUUAACUGUGCGUUAAAAACAGACUGCAAAGUGAAAUAAUAUUUUACUUGGCAAGAAAGGCCGGGCAGCAAAGCCUACUGGUUGACGUCUCAAUCACGUUGUGCUUGUUUUGUCCCAGCAGGAGGGGCUGCUCGCUAUAUCAGCUUCAUUAUCUCUUCUACUGACUACUUGCUCGCGCUAGUUUUAGAGAAAACUGCUGUGGAAAACUCAGCCAAAGCUAGCAAGUGUCAAGUGAAUCCACAACAUCACUACAAACGUCUUUUCAAGCCAGCGGGGGAUCAACGGCAGUGGCAGAACAUCAACAGACGACAAAGCAUAAAGCCUAUCUGAUUGGCCAUGUUGGUAUGCCCUCUGUCACCACAUUCUUCAAGAAGGCACUGUGGAGUGGUAAAGUGGAUGACCCUGCUCCUGAUGACCUGACCUCCCAGGCAGUGGACAAGCUCAACAAAAACCUCCACAACGACCAGGGGAUCGAUCUGAGCAUGCUCACUGUGGGCGAUGGACUCACCCUGGCCAUCAAACGCUAAUCAAAUCAAAUCAAAUGUUAUUGGUCACAUACACAUGGUUAAUGUGAGUGUAGCGAAAUGCUUGUGCUUCUGGUUCUGACAGUGCAGUAUUAUCUAACAAGUAAUCUAACAAUUCCCCAACAACUACUUAAUACAUCUAAAAGGGGUGAAUGAGAAAAUGUACACAUAAAUAUAUGGAUGAGCGAUGGCCGAGGGGCAUAGGCAAGGUGCAACUAGAAGGUAUAAAAUACAGUAUGAUUCAUAUGAUAUGAGUAAUGUAAGAUAUGUAAACAUUAUUAAAGUGGCAUUGUAUAAAGUGACUAGUGAUCCAUUUGUUAAGGUGGCCAGUGAUUGGAUCUCCAUGUA